CAGCCGCCGCGGGAAUACAGAGGGUGCGAGCGUUAAUCGGAUUUACUGGGCGUAAAGCGUGCGUAGGCGGCUUCUUAAGUCGGAUGUUAAAUCCCUGAGCUUAACUUAGGAAUUGCAUUCGAUACUGGGAAGCUAGAGUAUGGGAGAGGAUGGUAGAAUUCCAGGUGUAGCGGUGAAAUGCGUAGAGAUCUGGAGGAAUACCGAUGGCGAAGGCAGCCAUCUGGCCUAAUACUGACGCUGAGGUACGAAAGCAUGGGGAGCAAACAGGAUUAGAUACCCGCGUAGUCCCUGUCUCUUAUAC
This 301-nucleotide ribosomal RNA is filed under the name uncultured bacterium. Its description in RNAcentral is "partial 16S ribosomal RNA". It matches the Rfam family "Bacterial small subunit ribosomal RNA", at positions 509 to 807 of the family's 1533-position model. The record is from RNAcentral.